This 447-nucleotide ribosomal RNA is filed under the name uncultured bacterium. RNAcentral's name for it is "partial 16S ribosomal RNA". It matches the Rfam family "Bacterial small subunit ribosomal RNA", at positions 29 to 507 of the family's 1533-position model. The record is from RNAcentral.
AACGAACGCUGGCGGCAUGCCUAACACAUGCAAGUCGAACGAUGCCUUCGGGCAUAGUGGCGCACGGGUGCGUAACGCGUGGGAAUCUGCCCUUGGCUUCGGAAUAACAGUUAGAAAUGACUGCUAAUACCGGAUGAUGUCCCCCUGAGAGAUCUUGGGGACCAAAGAUUUAUCGGCCAGGGAUGAGCCCGCGUAGGAUUAGGUAGUUGGUGGGGUAAAGGCCUACCAAGCCGACGAUCCUUAGCUGGUCUGAGAGGAUGAUCAGCCACACUGGGACUGAGACACGGCCCAGACUCCUACGGGAGGCAGGAGUGGGGAAUAUUGGACAAUGGGGGGAACCCUGAUCCAGCAAUGCCGCGUGAGUGAUGAAGGCCUUAGGGUUGUAAAGCUCUUUUACCAGGGAUGAUAAUGACAGUACCUGGAGAAUAAGCUCCGGCUAACUCCGUG